CAAUAGCGUACAUUAAAGUUGUUGCAGUUAAAAAGCUCGUAGUUGGAUUUGUGGUGGUUCCUGUGGUCCGAUUUCGGUACUCUCGGGGACUGCCAUCUUUGGGUGGAUCCUGUGUGGCAUUAGGUUGUCGUGCAGGGGAUGCCCAUCGUUUACUGUGAAAAAAUUAGAGUGUUCAAAGCAGGCUUAUGCCGUUGAAUAUAUUAGCAUGGAAUAAUGAGAUAGGACCUUGGUACUAUUUUGUUGGUUUGCGCACCGAGGUAAUGAUUAAUAGGGACAGUUGUGGGUAUUCGUAUUCCAUUGUCAGAGGUGAAAUUCUUGGAUUUCUGGAAGACGAACUAAUGCGAAAGCAUUUACCAAGGAUGUUUUCAUUAA
RNAcentral lists this ribosomal RNA (372 nucleotides) under uncultured eukaryote. RNAcentral's name for it is "partial 18S ribosomal RNA". It matches the Rfam family "Eukaryotic small subunit ribosomal RNA", at positions 592 to 976 of the family's 1831-position model. The record is from RNAcentral.